GUGAGUCAUCGAGUCUUUGAACGCACCUUGCGCUUAUCGGUGUUCCGAUGAGCAUGCCUGUUUGAGCGUCAUUAAAUUCUCAACCCCUCUCGAUUUGCUUCGAGAGGGAGCUUGGAUCGUGGAGGCUGCCGGAGACCUGUUUUUCAGGACUCGGGCUCCUCUGAAAUGUAUUGGCUUGCGGUCGACUUUCGACUGUGCAUGACAAGGCCUUUGGCGUGAUAAUGAUCGCCGCUCGCCGAAGUGCACGAACGAAUGGUCUCGUGCCUCUAAUCAGUCGACGCCUUUUCGAAGGCGUCUUCCUUAUUGACGUUUGACCUCAAAUCAGGUAGGACUACCCGCUGAACUUAA
This 348-nucleotide ribosomal RNA is filed under the name uncultured fungus. RNAcentral describes it as "eukaryotic LSU rRNA". The stretch from base 1 to 71 matches the Rfam family "5.8S ribosomal RNA", at positions 84 to 154 of the family's 154-position model. The record is from RNAcentral. Lineage: Eukaryota; Fungi.